ACUCCUACGGGAGGCAGCAGUGGGAAUUUUGCACAAUGGGCGCAAGCCUGAUGCAGCCAUGCCGCGUGUGUGAAGAAGGCCUUCGGGUUGUAAAGCACUUUCAGUUGUGAGGAAAGGUUAGUCGCUAAUAUCGGCUAGCUGUGACGUUAGCAACAGAAGAAGCACCGGCUAACUCCGUGCCAGCAGCCGCGGUAAUACGGAGGGUGCGAGCGUUAAUCGGAAUUACUGGGCGUAAAGCGCGUGUAGGUGGCUUGUUAAGCCAGACUGAAGCCAAGGCCCUGCCAACCUGGGAACUGCAUUUGGAACUGGCAGGCUAGAGUUUUGUAGAGGGUGGUAGAAUUUCAGGUGUAGCGGUGAAAUGCGUAGAGAUCUGAAGGAACACCGGUGGCGAAGGCGACCACCUGGCCAAUAACUGACACUGAGACGCGAAGGCGUGGGUAGCAAACGGGAUUAGAUACCCUGGUAGGCUCUG
RNAcentral lists this ribosomal RNA (472 nucleotides) under uncultured bacterium. Its description in RNAcentral is "bacterial SSU rRNA". It matches the Rfam family "Bacterial small subunit ribosomal RNA", at positions 335 to 799 of the family's 1533-position model. The record is from RNAcentral.